RNAcentral lists this ribosomal RNA (468 nucleotides) under uncultured bacterium. RNAcentral's name for it is "partial 16S ribosomal RNA". It matches the Rfam family "Bacterial small subunit ribosomal RNA", at positions 28 to 507 of the family's 1533-position model. The record is from RNAcentral.
GACGAACGCUGGCGGCGUGCUUAACACAUGCAAGUCGAACGGAAAGGCCCUGCUUUUGUGGGGUGCUCGAGUGGCGAACGGGUGAGUAACACGUGAGUAACCUGCCCUUGACUUUGGGAUAACUUCAGGAAACUGGGGCUAAUACCGUAUAGGAGCUCCUGCUGCAUGGUGGGGGUUGGAAAGUUUCGGCGGUUGGGGAUGGACUCGCGGCUUAUCAGCUUGUUGGUGGGGUAGUGGCUUACCCAGGCUUUGACGGGUAGCCGGCCUGAGAGGGUGACCGGCCACAUUGGGCCUGAGAUACGGCCCAGACUCCUACGGGAGGCAGCGGUGGGGAAUAUUGCACAAUGGGCGGAAGCCUGAUGAAGCAACGCCGCGUGCGGGAUGACGGCCUUCGGGUUGUAAACCGCUUUCGCCUGUGACGAAGCGUGAGUGACGGUAAUGGGUAAAGAAGCACCGGCUAACUACGUG